UUGACCUCGGAUCAGGUAGGGAUACCCGCUGAACUUAAGCAUAUCAAUAAGCGGAGGAAAAGAAACCAACAGGGAUUGCCUCAGUAACGGCGAGUGAAGCGGCAACAGCUCAAAUUUGAAAUCUGGCUCUUUCAGGGUCCGAGUUGUAAUUUGUAGAAGAUGCUUUGGGUGUGGCUCCGGUCUAAGUUCCUUGGAACAGGACGUCAUAGAGGGUGAGAAUCCCGUACGUGACUGGUUGCCUCCGCCCGUGUAAAGCUCUUUCGACGAGUCGAGUUGUUUGGGAAUGCAGCUCAAAAUGGGUGGUAAAUUUCAUCUAAAGCUAAAUAUUGGCCA
This 333-nucleotide ribosomal RNA is filed under the name uncultured Meliniomyces. RNAcentral describes it as "eukaryotic LSU rRNA". It matches the Rfam family "Eukaryotic large subunit ribosomal RNA", at positions 1 to 329 of the family's 3401-position model. Lineage: Eukaryota; Fungi; Ascomycota; Leotiomycetes; Helotiales; Helotiaceae. The record is from RNAcentral.